UGAUGUUUCCAUGCCUUGAGGAUUCUUUUAUUUUUACACGGGGGUCUAAGUGACCAAUGGAUCGUUCAUAUAAACAAACAAAAAAAAAACAGACAAAAAUAUUAUUCAGAAGUGACCUUAGUAUUACUUCAUUAUUCUAACCACAUUGAAGAUGCUCACUUCAUAUGGACUUGGAGCUUCAGACCUUUUACAUCCAUCACAGACAGACCGGAUGGGUUGUGAUUGCUGUGCAUGGCCUAAUAGGCACUGCAGGCUUUAGGAGCCAUUUGGAGUUUGUAUCGUUGAGGGAGUAUUGAGUAAACGAGGGGGGAGGUGUGUCUGAAGUGCGCCUCUCAGUCAGAUCCACCUACAAGUUUCUGUUUCCUUUUUAUGUUUUGUUGCUUUUAAGCAUAAAGCCAACCAUAUGCCAGUGCCAAGUGGAUUAACUGGCUUACAACAUUCAACAUAUUGACUUAACCACCUGAUGUUCACAGUAUCUUGUUUCCUAGCAACAGAUGCUAAGUAAUACAUCAAAAUUAAUCUGAGGCUACAGAUUUUACAGGGUAUUUGUUCCAUAGCACAAAGUAUUUCCCCACUCUUGCAUCACAGCACAAACUACCAAAUUUUGAUUUUUUUUUUUUUUUAGAUCCCAGCAAUAAUUUUUAAUAGUUUUCAAACUGGUGGAAUUUUGAUAGUGCUAGCUGGAGUUUGAAGCUUUUGAAUUAGAUCUCUAAAUGGUGACAGUUUACAUGGUUUUAUCUAGCUUUCUUAUUUAUACUUGACUGAAUUGUAAUUUUUUUCUAAUUGUAAUCUGACCUAAUAGCCAUAUAAAAUGACUCUGUUAGUACUGUCUAGGCCUAGCUUCUCACGGUUGUAGAUAUUCAGUUCCGGUGCUGGAAAAUAUGUACAACAAUACUAACAGGAUUGAAAAAGAUGGAGGUUUGUUUUGUUUGUUGUUUUUCCAAAGCAGGUAGGGAGGACAGCAAAGUAUUAGAAUUAUGUCCUCAAACGUUAUGUUCGUUGGGGAGGAAGGAAGCAGGACUUAGUAACAGUUAAUCAGUAGGCGGAGCUUAACCCCAUUCACAGAGAGAGAAAUCAAGUGACAGCCCCAGGUCUUAGCGUACUAUUUUUACUAUGAUAACUGUUUUAAUAAUAUUUUCUAAAUUUCAAAACAUAAAACCGAAUGAUUGGAAAUUGGUGGGUCCUCACGUUGGUGGCUGUUGGAGUUUUGGACCACUUGCUAGCAGUGAUUUAAACAUGAUAAUUAGCUAACCCCCUCCAAAAAAAAUAAUAACAAAAAUAGAAAACCAACAAUUGCAUUGGUGCAGAACAUGCAUCUUGACAAUGGUACUAACUUGUUAUUCUCUAGAACACAUUAGAAUAGAUCUAUUUUUGCCAGAGCACCCUCCCUCCGUCCUCCAAUACAUUUCACUAGAGUCCUUUAAGAGAUUGCUGUAUAUUCCUGAGACCUUUUUUAAAA
This 1459-nucleotide long non-coding RNA is filed under the name Rattus norvegicus (Norway rat). Its description in RNAcentral is "long non-coding RNA NONRATT006563". The record is from RNAcentral. Lineage: Eukaryota; Metazoa; Chordata; Mammalia; Rodentia; Muridae.